GUGGAAGACCUGCAGGGCCGAGGGCGUCAGGGCACCUGCCACCCCCACGCUCCCAGGGGCCCGGCUCGUUUUCUACCCCUCAGGGGCCCUGGACAGCUGUCCUUGAGGGCCUGGUGGCUGCACAGAUGCUUAGGAAGGGAAGCCGGCGCUCAAGGGCUCCCAUCUGUCUCCACCCUGGCUGUGGCUCCCGGGGCCACACCAGCCACCCUCGGCAUGACCCGGAGCGGGCGCAGACCCCGGCCUGUGGGACCGACCCUUCCCCCUCCACGCCCCACUCAGCUCGGCGGCCAGCGCUGACCUUUCCGCUGCUGCAUAGUUCUAUGCAGAAGGAAAAAAAAAUUCUUUUAAAGCAAAAGCCAAACAAA
This is a long non-coding RNA of Sapajus apella (tufted capuchin), 365 nucleotides long. RefSeq lists it as uncharacterized. Lineage: Eukaryota; Metazoa; Chordata; Mammalia; Primates; Cebidae. The record is from RefSeq and is a predicted model, not a curated record. The transcript has 2 exons.